This 1871-nucleotide long non-coding RNA is filed under the name Anolis carolinensis (green anole). Its description in RNAcentral is "lncRNA (ENSACAG00000039004.1)". Lineage: Eukaryota; Metazoa; Chordata; Lepidosauria; Squamata; Anolidae. The record is from RNAcentral.
CUACUACGGGAUUGCUUGCAAUUUGGGGACUCUGUCCAAUCGGAGGCGGCGCCCAAUCAGGACCGGGCAGGGCUCGGCGCGCGCCCAAUCUGAGCGGGCGGGGGAGAGGGAGGCGUUCCUCGGGCGGCCGGAGCCUCACCAGUCACUCGGACACGGCGGAGGAGCAGGAGCAGGGCGGGGCGGUGGGAGUCGCCGGCCGCUCGGUUCUUCUCCUUCUUCCCGGAGAGACGCGUCAGCGCAGCGCCCGCCGAGGUGAAGAGCGAGGAAAGGUCUGAUUCCAAAGAAAGGUUUUUAUCUGACGCCUGAAAGUUGGGAAGGGGGCCAUUCUGAUGUCUUUUAGAAGAGAGUUCCAGAGCCACGGAGCAACCACCGAGAAGGCCCUCCCUCUCGUUUCCACCAACUGUAUUUGCGGCCGUGUUGGGACCGAGAGAAGGGCCUCUCCUGCUGAUCUCACAGCUCGUGCAGGUGCUGGCAAAAGAGGCUGGAAAGUAAAGCUUUGCUGCAGGAGUAAGUAAGUACAGGUCUUGAAGAGGCCUAAUACUCAAGGUCUUUGCAACUAUAGUUAAAACUUAUUCAGUCAUCUGCCUCUCCCCACCCACUACAGAAAAAUUUUAAGUAAUUUGCAUAUCUGUUUGGUUACGCUGUGUAACACGAUUUUUGUUCCUUGGUUACAAAUGUAAUUUACUAAUUGAUUCCAUCAUAAAAACAUGGGAAAUGUUUUGGUGGUAUAAUUCUUACUCUAAUUAGUAUAGAGAUGUUAUUUACAUGGAUUGUAAGUAAUCUUUAGUCUGUAGUUGUGGAAGUGCUUUCAUAUACUUAUUGAUCAGAUAUAUUAAGCUGUCGGUUCAUAUCUCUCCUUUGUGGGUAUUAGAAGGACUUUUGGUAAACAAAGGAUAUGAAGAAAUGCAUUAGCUGUGUACAUUGUAACUAUGUCCAAGAUUGGUGGUCACUGAUGGUUUUAUAUAGCCAGACAGGAUACAGUAAAAAUGUAUUUCAGCAAGGCUUUUUUCCCUCUCCAGUGAACAAAUGCAGUGCAACUUAUCCCUUUCUUUGGGCAUUAUGGAAAAUAUACUGAAAGUGUAAAUACUUUGCACAUGGACUUGAAGAUUUGCACAGAAAAAUUAAAUAAAAUAUUGUCUUGUCAUGCCUCUCAGGCUAUGAAUUGGAUGGGCAGUAUACCCAGAAAAGGAAGGAAAAGGAAGAAAGAGCAUUUGUUGAUAUGACUUAAAACUAUAAGAAAUAUACUAGUAAAACCCACUUUGUGUUUUUCUGGUCGUUGUAUGUUAAGUGUUGUAAUGUAAUUUACUCCCAAGCAGUCUUACCUGAAGGCUAUCAAAAGGCUCCUAGUCAGUGGUUUUGACAUUACAGUUUUAUUUUUUAUAUUCUUAUUAGCUACUAUGAGGGGUUUUGGAGUUAUAUUUGGCAAGGAUCUAAAACCUAAAAUAAACAUCUAUAUAUAUAAAAUGAUAAAGUUGUUUGCGCAGUGACUAUAACAACAAAACUAAACAUCCCAGAAAUACGAAAUUUGGCAACACAAUGCAAAAGGCUUGCCUCCAGGUUACAACAACACAACCACACCACAAAACCACACAAGACCCACAAAACUCACAACAACGCAUCAUGCGAUAACAACACAACUAAACGCCCCAGAAAUACAAAACUUGGCAACACAAUGCAAAAGCCUUCCCUCCAGGUUGUAACAACACAACCACACCACAAAACCACACAGGACCCACAAAACUCACAACAACGCAUCGUGGCUAUAACAACACAACUAAACACCCCAGAAAUAUAAAACUUGACAACACAAUGCAAAAGCCUUGCCUCCCGGUUGUAACAACACAACCACACCACAAAACCACAAUCCGGAC